CAAGCCAUACUGUACACUCCUCUCCAGUCUAGAGUUUUGCUACAUGACCCAAACCAAGCAGGUCAGGACAAAGUAUCUGGUUUCGUUUUGGAUUCAGCAGGUCAAUCCUAAUCUGGGAAACAGCAUGUAUCCUUCAUCAUUCUAUUCAUCCUCUAAUCCUCGGGAUGACAGCCACAGACAUUACCGGGACAAGUGUGCCAGACGACAGCCCUGCAUUGUCAACUGCAACACCCACAGCGAUUCUCAAGGAGAGAAGUGCUCCACAGUAAUCUAAAUACUCCAUGAUCCUCAUCCACCAAUGAAAUGGAGAAGAAGCCAGUCAGAAGUACCAUGGUGCAACUGUUACACACAAUUUGAUUAACAAUCUCAACUUUAAUUCAUUUAAGAUGGAGAUUAUAAAAUCAAUUUACA
Larimichthys crocea (large yellow croaker) is the source of this 411-nucleotide long non-coding RNA. RefSeq lists it as uncharacterized. The transcript is spliced from 3 exons. NCBI's taxonomy places the organism in Eukaryota, Metazoa, Chordata, Actinopteri, Sciaenidae. The record is from RefSeq and is a predicted model, not a curated record.